UCGGGAAUAUUGCGCAAUGGAGGAAACUCUGACGCAGUGACGCCGCGUAUAGGAAGAAGGUUUUCGGAUUGUAAACUAUUGUCGUUAGGGAAGAUACAAGACAGUACCUAAGGAGGAAGCCCCGGCUAACUAUGUGCCAGCAGCCGCGGUAAUACAUAGGGGCAAGGCGUAUCCGGAUUAUUGGUGUAAAGGGUGCGUAGAUGGAGGAGCAAGUUGGUUGUGAAAUCCCUCGGCUCAACUGAGGAACUGCAACCAAAACUACUUCCCUUGAGUGUCGGAGAGGAAAGUGGAAUUCCUAGUGUAGCGGUGAAAUGCGUAGAUAUUAGGAGGAACACCAGUGGCGAAGGCGACUUUCUGGACGAUAACUGACAUUGAGGCACGAAAGUGUGGGGAGCAAACAGGAUUAGAUACC
RNAcentral lists this ribosomal RNA (412 nucleotides) under uncultured bacterium. RNAcentral describes it as "bacterial SSU rRNA". It matches the Rfam family "Bacterial small subunit ribosomal RNA", at positions 355 to 786 of the family's 1533-position model. The record is from RNAcentral.